This 687-nucleotide ribosomal RNA is filed under the name Neopetrosia dendrocrevacea. Its description in RNAcentral is "LSU rRNA". It matches the Rfam family "Eukaryotic large subunit ribosomal RNA", at positions 87 to 611 of the family's 3401-position model. Lineage: Eukaryota; Metazoa; Porifera; Demospongiae; Haplosclerida; Petrosiidae. The record is from RNAcentral.
CGGCGAGCGAAGUGGGAAGAGCUCAGGCUGCCAAUCUCCGGCCGAGAGGUCGGCGAAUUGUGGUCUGGAGACGCCAACUGUCCUCGCCUGCUUCCCCGGCCCGAAGUUGACCUGGAACGGCGCGUCAGAGAGGGUGACAGUCCCGUAGGGCCGUCUGUGGGAAGCGGGUGGACGUCAUUUGGCGGUCGGCGAGUCGGGUUGUUUGGGAUUGCAGCCCAAAGUGGGUGGUAAACUCCAUCCAAAGCUAAAUAGCGGCACGAGACCGAUAGCGAACAAGUACCGUGAGGGAAAGGUGAAAAGUACUUUGAAAAGAGAGUCAAAGAGACCGCGAAACCGUUGGGAGGGAAGCGCACGGCGGCGAGCCGUGUCCGCGUGGGACUCAGCAGGCGUGUCUUCACCACGGGUGCCGUGACGCCCGCUCCGGCGAGUCUCCCCGGCUGCGGUCAGGGGAGCGUCGGCGGUGGGAGAGUGGCGGUGCCGCCUGCGCACUUUCCGCGUGGACUCGUCAGCGAGGAUCGCCUCGGGCCCACAAGGACGGUGGGGUAGGUGACCCGGCGUGGUCUCUGUGCCUCGUUGGGAGCUUACAGCCCACCGUUGAGGCUGCGGUCGCGGCCCGAGCGUCGAUCGAGGUGAGGUGCGAGCGUCGUUUCGCCGGAGAGGCCGGGCGGGCAACGGUCGGCGUUUGUC